GUAGGUGGCAAGCGUUGUCCGGAAUUAUUGGGCGUGAAGCGCGCGCAGGCGGUCCUUUAAGUCUGAUGUGAAAGCCCACGGCUCAACCGUGGAGGGUCAUUGGAAACUGGGGGACUUGAGUACAGAAGAGGAAAGCGGAAUUCCAAGUGUAGCGGUGAAAUGCGUAGAGAUUUGGAGGAACACCAGUGGCGAAGGCGGCUUUCUGGUCUGUAACUGACGCUGAGGCGCGAAAGCGUGGGGAGCAAACAGGGAUUAGAUACCCUGGUAGUCCACGCCGUAAACGAUGAGUGCUAAGUGUUAGGGGGUUUCCGCCCCCUUAGUGCUGCAGCUAACGCAUUAAGCACUCCGCCUGGGGAGUACGGCCGCAAGGCUG
Molecule: ribosomal RNA, 373 nt
Filed under: uncultured organism
Description: partial 16S ribosomal RNA
Rfam family: Bacterial small subunit ribosomal RNA
Source: RNAcentral